This 452-nucleotide ribosomal RNA is filed under the name uncultured bacterium. RNAcentral's name for it is "bacterial SSU rRNA". It matches the Rfam family "Bacterial small subunit ribosomal RNA", at positions 29 to 524 of the family's 1533-position model. The record is from RNAcentral.
AAUGAACGCUGGCGGCAGGCCUAACACAUGCAAGUCGAACGGAUCCUUCGGGAUUAGUGGCGGACGGGUGAAUAACGCGUGGGAACAUACCCAAAGGUACGGAAUAGCCUCGGGAAACUGGGAGUAAUACCGUAUGUGGUCGAGAGACGAAAGAUUUAUCGCCUUUGGAUUGGCCCCGCGUUGGAUUAGGUAGUUGGUGGGGUAAUGGCCUACCAAGCCGACGAUCCAUAGCUGGUUUGAGAGGAUGAUCAGCCACACUGGGACUGAGACACGGCCCAGACUCCUACGGGAGGCAGCAGUGGGGAAUCUUAGACAAUGGGGGAAACCCUGAUCUAGCCAUGCCGCGUGAUCGAUGAAGGCCUUAGGGUUGUAAAGAUCUUUCAGAUGGGAAGAUAAUGACGGUACCAUCAGAAGAAGCCCCGGCUAAACUCCGUGCCAGCAGCCGCGGUAAU